UUUUACCUACGGGGGGCAGCAGUGGGGAAUAUUGCACAAUGGGGGAAACCCUGAUGCAGCGACGCCGCGUGAAGGAAGAAGUAUCUCGGUAUGUAAACUUCUAUCGGCAGGGAAGAAAACGGACGGUACCUGACUAAGAAGCCCCGGCUAACUACGUGCCAGCAGCCGCGGUAAUACGUAGGGGGCGAGCGUUAUCCGGAUUUACUGGGUGUAAAGGGAGCGUAGACGGCUGGGCAAGCCUGAUGUGAAAGGCGGGGG
Molecule: ribosomal RNA, 258 nt
Filed under: uncultured bacterium
Lineage: Bacteria
Description: partial 16S ribosomal RNA
Rfam family: Bacterial small subunit ribosomal RNA
Source: RNAcentral